UCAACUAACGGAAUUUCACUUUCGAUGUGAUUCCAAUUCUUGUCAGUUAUUUGCUGUUUGAUAGUUGCACUACUUACACAUCAUUUGGGAGUCUGGAACCAUUUACUUCACAGUACAAUCAGAAACUUCACCGGGGUGCUGCCUUCAGCAGAUAACUAAUACACAGGUUGACAAUAUCAGUGGGGUCGUCACGCAUCUUACUGUUUGCUAUUACUUGUAUCAUCAUGGACGUCAUGCAGUAUCCUCCGGGAAAUCAACGGGUCUUCUCUGUUCAGUGCGGAGAUAAAGGAACCUGUUAUGGCAAGCGACAAGACUGCAACGGCAACUAUCACUUGACUUCUCUUGGUAUGG
Daphnia pulicaria is the source of this 351-nucleotide long non-coding RNA. RefSeq lists it as uncharacterized. Lineage: Eukaryota; Metazoa; Arthropoda; Branchiopoda; Diplostraca; Daphniidae. The record is from RefSeq and is a predicted model, not a curated record. The transcript has 3 exons.